Molecule: long non-coding RNA, 1200 nt
Organism: Oncorhynchus tshawytscha (Chinook salmon)
Lineage: Eukaryota; Metazoa; Chordata; Actinopteri; Salmoniformes; Salmonidae
Source: Ensembl
CAUAGACUGGAGGGUCAGAACGUGGCCUGGUGACUGUGAAGCUGGACAUUUUCGUCUUAUUUGAAUUAAACGAUAUAGCUAGAUAGUUCAUUUCCUCAGCAGUCAUAUUUUAUUUAGUUAGACAGUAAACAAAUUCCCUCGAUGUGGCUAGCUAACGUUAGCAGCUUGCUAGCAAAGUAGGCUAAUUGUAGAGUAUGCAGGAAGCUCAUGUUGGCUAAGUAGUUAGCUAUAGCUACUUAAACGUUUGUAUGAAACUUUCAAUUUAUAAUUUCGACUUGAGGUAAAUAUUUCGUUUUAGCCUAUACCCAAGAGGGUGAACCUUUCUAUGGACACUGCUUAGCUAGCAAGUUACCUGGGGCAUUGCGGUGUCUGGCACGUUGUCUGAAACGUCUCCUAUGAUGUUUUGCACUGGGCUCUGAAAUUCUGUGGCGAAAAAGUGCUCUCUGGCUCUGACAGGCCCGAGUCUGAGGAUGCUCGCGUCUAAUGUAGUUAGUCUUGUCUGCUUGAUUGUAAGUUGCAGAUAUUGUCCUUAUGGGAGUCUUUUUCUAUUGUCCAAAGGUUACGAGUCUGUCAGAACCCACAAGGUGAGUGGUUUUCUUUCAUAUGUAACGUUACUUUGUUUUCCUAUGAUGUUUUGCACUGGGCUCUGAAUUUCUGUGGCGAAAAAGUGCUCUCUGGCUCUGACAGGCUUGAGUCUGAGGAGACUGAUAAUAAUUAAUCACAUAGGAUCCUUGUAGGUUGUGAUGUAAUUAUUUUCAGACAGUUUUCUCACUUUUUUUCAUGCAGUUCUUGGACCUCCACAGAAGAUGUGUGGUGACUGCAGUCUGUUAUUAACAUGGGGUGAGAUCUUCAAUGGAUAAUUUAGGGGCCUGUUUUGCACAAGAGGCACUGUUUUACCUGUAUUUCCAGCAUUAUCCAGCUGGUGUCACUUCAGUCCCUUUUUUGUUUCAAUCAAGCAGCUUCCCCAACAUGACCAAGAUUGCGAAACAAUAUCCCUUUUGCUAAUAAUUCUGUAGAUGUGGGAAGAAUUGUUAAUACCAGGGCUGACUCAGCAAUGGAAAUGUGCUGACCUAAAUGAGAUUAUUUUUUAUUUAUGUUCCUGAUUGUUAUGUAAGGCUGAAACAUUAAAAUAUUUUAAUCAGAUACUCUGUCAUGUCCUUUCUAACUUUACUGGUGAGCUCCCCCCAGCAGGUGUGUUUG